This 437-nucleotide ribosomal RNA is filed under the name uncultured bacterium. RNAcentral describes it as "partial 16S ribosomal RNA". It matches the Rfam family "Bacterial small subunit ribosomal RNA", at positions 29 to 507 of the family's 1533-position model. The record is from RNAcentral.
AGCGAACGCUGGCGGCAGGCUUAACACAUGCAAGUCGAGCGGGCAUCCUUGUGGUGUCAGCGGCAGACGGGUGAGUAACGCGUGGGAACGUGCCCUUCGGUUCGGAAUAACUCAGGGAAACUUGGGCUAAUACCGGAUACGUGCGAGAGCAGAAAGGUUUAUCUGCCGAAGGACCGGCCCGCGUCUGAUUAGCUAGUUGGUGAGGUUACGGCUCACCAAGGCGACGAUCAGUAGCUGGUCUGAGAGGAUGAUCAGCCACACUGGGACUGAGACACGGCCCAGACUCCUACGGGAGGCAGGAGUGGGGAAUAUUGGAAAAUGGGGGCAACGCUGAUCCAGCCAUGCCGCGUGAGUGAUGACGGCCUUAGGGUUGUAAAGCUCUUUUCUCCGGGACGAUAAUGACGGUACCGGAGGAAUAAGCCCCGGCUAACUUCGUG